This 541-nucleotide ribosomal RNA is filed under the name uncultured bacterium. Its description in RNAcentral is "bacterial SSU rRNA". It matches the Rfam family "Bacterial small subunit ribosomal RNA", at positions 371 to 907 of the family's 1533-position model. The record is from RNAcentral.
AUGGGCGAGCCUGAUCCAGCAAUGCCGCGUGCAGGAAGAAGGCCUUCGGGUUGUAAACUGCUUUUGUACGGAACGAAAAGGUCUGCCCUAAUACGGCGGGCCCAUGACGGUACCGUAAGAAUAAGCACCGGCUAACUACGUGCCAGCAGCCGCGGUAAUACGUAGGGUGCGAGCGUUAAUCGGAAUUACUGGGCGUAAAGCGUGCGCAGGCGGUGAUGUAAGACAGUUGUGAAAUCCCCGGGCUCAACCUGGGAAUUGCAUCUGUGACUGCAUCGCUAGAGUACGGUAGAGGGGGAUGGAAUUCCGCGUGUAGCAGUGAAAUGCGUAGAUAUGCGGAGGAACACCGAUGGCGAAGGCAAUCCCCUGGACCUGUACUGACGCUCAUGCACGAAAGCGUGGGGAGCAAACAGGAUUAGAUACCCUGGUAGUCCACGCCCUAAACGAUGUCAACUGGUUGUUGGGUGCAUUAGUACUCAGUAACGAAGCUAACGCGUGAAGUUGACCGCCUGGGGAGUACGGCCGCAAGGUUGAAACUCAAGGG